Oreochromis aureus is the source of this 1194-nucleotide long non-coding RNA. The record is from Ensembl. Lineage: Eukaryota; Metazoa; Chordata; Actinopteri; Cichliformes; Cichlidae.
CACUUUAGUACAAGACAAACACUCCUGGUUACUCUGAGGAAAUGUCAUUACAUGAUGAAUAUAUUUACCAUGUUAGUCAGGGAAACUCGUUUGUGGUGUGUCUCUUUUUGUUUCUCCUUUUCAUCAGAUUCUUAAAAACAAAAGGCAGGAAAGCAACAAUAAAAGUUAAAACCUCAAGAAGUUUUCUAACAUUUUGGGACAUCAUUUUAGAGACAACCUUGAACAUUACUUAUUACUUACCACUGUGUUGGUUCUUGCUGAUGUGUGAGAUGCAGCAGAGAAUAAUUUAUCCUUGCCACUGUCUUCAUGGAUCCUUAGUUCAUUUGCAUAGAUUAUAUAAUAAAGUCAUUUUGUAAUCCUAAUAGUAAUAUCAAAAACACAGGCCAGCAACAAGAAAUAAAGAAAAGUGCAAGAGGCACUGAAAACACUGACCUGUGUAUCUCAACAAUAACAAAGAACUAUAUACAUAUGUACAAAAGUUUGGAGAAAAUAAGUUCUCCAGGAAAGGCUUCGAUCUUGAUUAGAGUCUGAAGCGCUUCCUUGGUGGAGCGGGGCUCCUGCUGCUGCUUUUCUCCUCUGUCGCCUUUCUUUUUGCACGCUGUGCAAACAUCCUCCGGAAGCGGCAGAGCACUGACAUGAUGACGUUGCCCUCUGAGCUGUAGUCAGUGACCCUCCAGAUGUUUGUCAUCUCAGUGUCACAGUCUUCUGUGCGAUACACAGCAGAUAUGACUCUGUUGACAGUGAGGCCGUUGACCUCCAGGGUGCGGACACAGUUCCUCCGGUCUGCCUUCAGCACAAAAAUAUUCGCCUUGUCAGGAAGGACCGGAGUCAGGAUCUGAGAUGUCAGGCGGGACCCUGCAGGCAGCACCACCAUUCCAUCUGGUGAGUCGGUAAGAGGAGAUGGAGUGGUGUUUUCCCUCCGACUCUGCAGCACAGGUCUAAACGUUGUUUCCAGCUCGUCUGUGUCAAGGUGUCCCCUGAAUGCGACGUGAGGAAAAUCCUUGGACCCCGUAACCAGGUGAUGGUAAAGGGAGAGGACCAGGUCUUUCAUAGAGUCCAAAUGGCUGGGGCUCAAAGGACGUUUCCUCAGUGAAAGGCUUGUCUUCAGUCACCUCACCAGCAGUCUACUGAUCUCUGCAACGUCUGUUCAACAUGAUCUACAUUGGUGACUUCCGAGUGCAUGGACAAUUUAAA